UACGUAGGGGGCAAGCGUUGUCCGGAUUUAUUGGGCGUAAAGAGCGUGUAGGCGGUUGGGUAGGUCCGUUGUGAAAACUCGAGGCUCAACCUCGAGACGCCGAUGGAAACCCCCCAGCUAGAGUCCGGAAGAGGAGAGUGGAAUUCCUGGUGUAGCGGUGAAAUGCGCAGAUAUCAGGAAGAACACCCGUGGCGAAGGCGGCUCUCUAGUACGGUACUGACGCUGAGACGCGAAAGCGUGGGGAGCGAACAGG
This 253-nucleotide ribosomal RNA is filed under the name uncultured bacterium. RNAcentral's name for it is "partial 16S ribosomal RNA". It matches the Rfam family "Bacterial small subunit ribosomal RNA", at positions 524 to 776 of the family's 1533-position model. The record is from RNAcentral.